Long non-coding RNA from Mustela erminea (ermine), 677 nucleotides. RefSeq lists it as uncharacterized. NCBI's taxonomy places the organism in Eukaryota, Metazoa, Chordata, Mammalia, Carnivora, Mustelidae. The record is from RefSeq and is a predicted model, not a curated record. The transcript is spliced from 3 exons.
UCUUGAACGAACACAGAGAAGCCAUCAUUGAACGUUACUCUGGCACAACAGGGGCCUCACUGAGUUUCCUGGGAGUGGGAAUGGGUGGAGUGCACUGUAUGACUUGAUGUAGGUUCCGUUUGAAUCCUGUUCAAGCCACUUAAGACAAAGACUGCUAAGUGUCCCCUUCUCAUUCUUCUUUGGCAGGGAGCUACCAAGGCUAUGGUACUUUGUACAAGACUCAGCCAUGGGAACCAGUCUGUUAAGGACUGAAAAAGGACUUGAGAGAGAGAGAGACAGAAGAAACACAAAGUCUGGGCAAGAUAUGGAACACAUGCCCACCAUUCAAAUGAUCACAUGAGUAACUUCUUUGUUUACAUGUGAGCUGAACCCAUGUGGAGAAAACCAUUCCCCUCCAAAAUACAAUACCUGGAACUGAAUAUAUUUUAGAAGAUCAAACUUUCUGGCAAAAAUCCUGAAGUAUUCCAGGAGCUUAGAAUGGUGCAGGAAGUUUGGAAAGUCUUCAGGCAUUGGAAAGUCACUGAAACAGGACAUUUCUUUGCUCGUGUUGGUGAUGACAGAUUGAUAGAUACUUGCUCGGCCUUCUUCAACAUUUUCCUGAAGAAUCAAAUAAAAAGAGUGAUAAUCAUGUUGCAUUUAAAAUAAUACCUUGGUAUGAUUAAGGGGCCCCUGGGUGG